AAGACCUUGCGCUUUUGGAGCGGCCGAUGUCUGAUUAGCUAGUUGGUGGGGUAAUGGCCUACCAAAGCUUCGAUCAGUAGCUGGUCUGAGAGGACGACCAGCCACACUGGGACUGAGACACGGCCCAGACUCCUACGGGAGGCAGCAGUGGGGAAUUUUGGACAAUGGGCGCAAGCCUGAUCCAGCCAUGCCGCGUGAGUGAAGAAGGCCUUCGGGUUGUAAAGCUCUUUCAGCCGGGAAGAAAAGGCUACGACGAAUAAUCGUAGCUCAUGACGGUACCGGAAGAAGAAGCACCGGCUAACUACGUGCCAGCAGCCGCGGUAAUACGUAGGGUGCGAGCGUUAAUCGGAAUUACUGGGCGUAAAGGGUGCGCAGGCGGUUUUGUAAGUCAGGUGUGAAAUCCCCGGGCUUAACCUGGGAACU
RNAcentral lists this ribosomal RNA (423 nucleotides) under uncultured bacterium. RNAcentral's name for it is "bacterial SSU rRNA". It matches the Rfam family "Bacterial small subunit ribosomal RNA", at positions 207 to 622 of the family's 1533-position model. The record is from RNAcentral.